AGAACGAACGCUGGCGGCAGGCUUAACACAUGCAAGUCGAACGCCCUCGCAAGGGGGAGUGGCAGACGGGUGAGUAACACGUGGGAACAUACCCUUCGGUUCGGAACAACGCCGGGAAACUGGCGCUAAUACCGGAUACGGCUUUUGAGCGAAAGAUUUAUCGCCGAAGGAUUGGCCCGCGUUCGAUUAGCUUGUUGGUGAGGUAACGGCUCACCAAGGCGACGAUCGAUAGCUGGUCUGAGAGGAUGGCCAGCCACAUUGGGACUGAGACACGGCCCAAACUCCUACGGGAGGCAGCAGUGGGGAAUAUUGGACAAUGGGCGCAAGCCUGAUCCAGCCAUGCCGCGUGAGUGAUGACGGCCUUAGGGUGUAAAGCUCUUUCGCACGCGACGAUAAUGACGGUAGCGUGAGAAGAAGCCCCGGCUAACUUCGUGCCAGCAGCCGC
RNAcentral lists this ribosomal RNA (445 nucleotides) under uncultured bacterium. Its description in RNAcentral is "SSU rRNA". It matches the Rfam family "Bacterial small subunit ribosomal RNA", at positions 26 to 518 of the family's 1533-position model. The record is from RNAcentral.